Molecule: ribosomal RNA, 391 nt
Filed under: uncultured bacterium
Lineage: Bacteria
Description: bacterial SSU rRNA
Rfam family: Bacterial small subunit ribosomal RNA
Source: RNAcentral
GACGAACGCUGGCGGCGCGCUUAACACAUGCAAGUCGAGCGGUAAGGCCCUUUCGGGGGUACACGAGCGGCGAACGGGUGAGUAACACGUGGGUGACCUGCCCUCAGCUCUGGGAUAAGCCUGGGAAACCGGGUCUAAUACUGGAUAUGACUCCAUGACGCACGUUGUGGGGUGGAAAGCCUUGUGCGGCUGAGGAUGGGCCCGCGGCCUAUCAGCUUGUUGGUGGGGUGANGGCCUACCAAGGCGACGACGGGUAGCCGGCCUGAGAGGGCGACCGGCCACACUGGGACUGAGACACGGCCCAGACUCCUACGGGAGGCAGCAGUGGGGAAUCUUGCGCAAUGGGCGAAAGCCUGACGCAGCGACGCCGCGUGAGGGAUGACGGCCUCGG